GGGAUAACAGUUAGAAAUAGCUGCUAAUACCGCAUAAGCGCACGGUUCCGCAUGGAACAGUGUGAAAAACUCCGGUGGUGUGAGAUGGACCCGCGUCUGAUUAGCCAGUUGGCGGGGUAACGGCCCACCAAAGCGACGAUCAGUAGCCGGCCUGAGAGGGUGAACGGCCACAUUGGGACUGAGACACGGCCCAAACUCCUACGGGAGGCAGCAGUGGGGAAUAUUGCACAAUGGGGGAAACCCUGAUGCAGCGACGCCGCGUGAGUGAAGAAGUAUUUCGGUAUGUAAAGCUCUAUCAGCAGGGAAGAAAGUGACGGUACCUGAAUAAGAAGCCCCGGCUAACUACGUGCCAGCAGCCGCGGUAAUACGUAGGGGGCAAGCGUUAUCCGGAUUUACUGGGUGUAAAGGGAGCGUAGACGGCAAGGCAAGUCUGAAGUGAAAGCCCGGUGCUUAACGCCGGGACUGCUUUGGAAACUGUUUAGCUGGAGUGCCGGAGAGGUAAGCGGAAUUCCUAGUGUAGCGGUGAAAUGCGUAGAUAUUAGGAAGAACACCAGUGGCGAAGGCGGCUUACUGGACGGUAACUGACGUUGAGGCUCGAAAGCGUGGGGAGCAAACAGGAUUAGAUACCCUGGUAGUCCACGCCGUAAACGAUGAUUGCUAGGUGUAGGUGGGUAUGGCCCAUCGGUGCCGCAG
This 693-nucleotide ribosomal RNA is filed under the name uncultured bacterium. Its description in RNAcentral is "bacterial SSU rRNA". It matches the Rfam family "Bacterial small subunit ribosomal RNA", at positions 140 to 851 of the family's 1533-position model. The record is from RNAcentral.